CCGGGGCUAAAUCAACGCCGCACACGCACCGGCACAUGUGUCUGGGUGCCUCGCUUGGCUACGCCGGGUGGGGUUGAUACAUGGGGCGCGUGGAGGACUAAC
Molecule: small RNA, 102 nt
Filed under: Microbulbifer rhizosphaerae
Lineage: Bacteria; Pseudomonadati; Pseudomonadota; Gammaproteobacteria; Cellvibrionales; Microbulbiferaceae
Description: t44 RNA
Rfam family: t44 RNA
About the family: This family consists of a number of bacterial RNA genes of between 135 and 170 bases in length. The t44 gene is found between the map and rpsB genes in all species in the full alignment apart from Shigella flexneri. The function of this RNA is unknown.
Source: Rfam by way of RNAcentral